UCACAUUUUAGAUAACUGGUU
Molecule: non-coding RNA, 21 nt
Filed under: Caenorhabditis elegans
Lineage: Eukaryota; Metazoa; Nematoda; Chromadorea; Rhabditida; Rhabditidae
Source: RNAcentral